UUAGCCAAACAUUAUCCAAAAGCCACCAAAUUUUGUGUGGAGCCAGGGAAUAAUAUUCAGAGACUCCCCACAAAGUUUGGUGAUUUUUGGGCACAUUGAUAAAUUACUAAAAUUCAGAGAAGUUUUAUUUGCUAAUUAAAAGAGGCAAUUUUUAUACACUUGCAAACUAUCAGAAAACAGAACCUAAUAUUUUUCUUGGGUUCUACUUAUUCCAGGGAAUCUACACAAAAAUUUCCAUGAUUUUUGGAUCUACACAAGAUUUAUGACACAAAUUCAAAUAUAAAACAAAAACUGCAUAAAAAGGAAAAAGAAAAACACUGCAGCGAGCGGCCGGAAAUCGGCCCGCAGGCCGGCCCACUCCCGCCCGGCCCACGUGGACGCUGCGCGCGCUGCCCCCUCUCUGCGCGGUCACUGACGAGCGGGUCCCGCUCGUCAGACCCCCC
RNAcentral lists this long non-coding RNA (443 nucleotides) under Sorghum bicolor (sorghum). RNAcentral's name for it is "long non-coding RNA (SBIC_LNC008233)". The record is from RNAcentral. Lineage: Eukaryota; Viridiplantae; Streptophyta; Magnoliopsida; Poales; Poaceae.